AUCAUGAUUGAAUCGAAUGAAAUAUAUAUAUAUAUAUAUACGUAUUGAUAUUGAAUUUAUUGAUAGUAAUUGUUGAAUUUUGAAUAAUAUGUUUAGUAAAUAAAAAUAAGGAGAAUAUCGAUAUUUAAUUGAAUGAAUUAAAAAUAUGAAUUGAAUAAAAGUGAAUUAAAUUAUGAAUAAGUGUGAAUACGUGAAUUGAGUAUUGACUGAAAAGUGGUUUGAUUCGAAUCGAGGUAUGAUUUGUGAAAUAUGUAUUGGUGCUGAAUUGUAUAUUGAUUUGAAAGUGGGAAGUGAAUUUGAAAUAGAAAAAUAUAUUGAAUCAAAUGGUGAUUAAAUUGUAUAAUGAUUUGAAUUGAAAGUAUGAGAAAGUGAUUGAAUUGAAAUGUGAUUCGGAAACCCUAUUAACUAGUCGGGCUGAGUCGGAUAUAGUUGACAUGCCAUAGGAUUGGAAGUGUUCAGGGAUACUUCGACCUUGAGUCGAUGAGACACUGGGUGUCAUACUGUUACUUCGAAUAGAUUCGAUGAGGUACUGGGUACCAACUUGCUUCGGCUUUGCCGAUGAGACACUGGGUGUCAACUAUUGCUUCGAACUAUCCGAUGAGGCACUGGGUGCCAUUCUGGUGUGUUUGGUUGGAUCCGUGUAUCCGCCAAGGUCCGAGUCAAGUUAAUAGGGGUAAAUGAAUAAUUUUGAUAAUAUAAAUUUUAUUAAAUGAUCUUGAGUAUGAAUCGAAAUGAGAUAUUAAAUUGAGAUAUGGAAAUGAAAUGUAUGAACCAAGGGUUCAAGAAAUAGUUAGCGAUUUAGUUCAUGAAAUGAUUUUGGUAGUAUGAGAUGUAAAAAUAUAAGUAAAGAAAAGCAAAUUGAAAUAGCUAUUGCUGAGAAAUGAGAAGUGAAAAUAAAAGUGGAAUUAUAUGUGAAUUUAAUUAAAUACAAGAUUGAAAUAUUGCUUAUUGUUAUUAAUGAUCUAGUUGAUUUAAAGUAUGAGACAAUUAACGAAUAAUUGUAGACAUAAACUAACUGUAUAUAAUUUAUUGGUUAAUGUUAUUAAUUUGAAUUAUGGUAAUACCACUGAGUAUUCCUAUACUCAGCGUACGGUUGUUUCCGUGCGCAGGUUAGUAGAAAACCAGUGUUCGGUCCAACAUCCAGAGUAAUCCCGGCCUCAGAUAAAUUUUAGUGAUGUGCCUUUCUUUUGAUAUUGUGGCAUGUAUCUAAUAUCUAGGUAAUGUAUUGAUUAAAGUAUGCUAUGUAUGUCAUUUAUUUGUGAAUUAGUGAUAAGUUAUCCGAUAUGUCCGGUAAUGCUCCGUAACUCGAUUCCGGCGACGGAUUUGGGUUGGGAGUGUUACAUUUAGUGGUAUCAGAGCUUUGCAGGUUUAGCCGAUUCUCGGACUAAAUCGAGCUCGAAAUUGAGUCUAGAGGUACAUGCCAUAAUUGAGUCGAAUUGAGUCGGGAUUUGGAUGCUGAUAUAUUUGCUUAUGUUUUAGAGUUGAAAAUGUCGAAUGAAUAUGAUGAUGAAUAUUACGUUAUAUGUUUCAUUGUAAAAUAAAUUAUAGUGCUAUACGAACUGUUGAAUUGAUAACUAAAUUAUAAAAUAUACAAAAGUAAUAUAUGAAGUAGAUGAUAAGGAUUAUUAAGGAAUUAUGGAUGAAUAGUAAAUUUUGAAAUAUAUUACAUGUGCUAAAGAUAGAGAAGAUAUAAAUGCACGAAUUAUUGGUACAAGAAUUAAAUUGUAAAGCAUGUAAAAGUAUUGUGUGAAAAGUAUAAAAGUGAUAUGCAUGCAUGAAUGAAAUAAUUUGCCCAAGUAGACGAGGCUAGAACUAUUAGGAUAUUAAGGGAGUUUAGCGUGCUCUCUGAUUAUUAGCACAUUGGUGCUCUCUGAUUAUUAGCACAUCAGUGCUCUCUGUUUAGCACAUCUGUGCUCUCUGAUAUUUAGCACGUCAGUGCUCUCUGAAUAUUAGCACGCUCUCUGAUCACUAGCACGUUAGUGCUCUCCGUUUAGCACAUUUGUGCUCUCUGUAUAGCACUUUAGUGCUCUCUGUUUAAUAGUGCAUAAUAAUGCACCUCUGUAUCAGUCCCGUAUAUCCUAAGUGUUCUAUUUCGUCUACUAGGUCUCUGCUAAAGAAAAAAAAUUGUUACAAGAUAAAAGAUUAUCUUUGAUUCAAUAGUGAAUGAUUAUAAAGGAAAAUAAGUUACAAAGCUGUGAAUAAAUAAGCAUGUAUUUGUAAUAAAAUAAUUUAAAGUUUUGAAUAAGUAAAUGUUAUUUAGUUUUGUAUGGUGAUUUAAAAUAGUAAUCCUUAUAGAUAAGGAUGAAAAUAUACAUUUAUACAUUCAAAAAAGUAACCUUGAUAAAUAAGAAAUGUUUUACUAAUAGACAAAAAUGUCUCCAAUUGAUCUAGUUCCGACAGUGAUGAAAGUGAUAUUUGAGUAUUUGAUAGAGAAAGGGGAGUUGCCUAUAUGAGUAAAGAUUUAUAAGGUACGAAAUGAAUGUUUGUAAUGAAUAUAUUGACGAUAAAAGUCAUGUUAUGUGUGUGUAUAUAUAUAUAUAUAUAUAAGUAUAUAUAUGAGAGUCAAAUUUUGAGGCUUUACGACCUUCACCCCCUCACCUAAACAAUGGAAUUUACAAGAAUUAUAUUCAUUAAGUUUACAAGUGUUAAAUUAAAGAGUUCAAUAAUUGAAGGAAAAAUAAUGCAGUCAGAGUUGUGGAUGGGAUAGCAAGUAAAGAAGGUUCUAGAAAAGCUAUCAGAUUUUUAAAUGAUUAUUUGGGAUUCGCAAUGUCGCUAUUAAGGAAGAAGUUAUUCACAAGUAAUCGACUUAUUCAGGUAUAAAAAAAAUUUAAAGAGCAGGUUAAUCGAAAUUUCUUCUGAAUUGAUUUCUUUAAUGAUUGGGAUAAUGUAAGAUUAUUGAUGACUUUAGUAGUCAGUGGGAUAGUGAUGAAAUUGCAAAGAUAUCUGAAUGCAGCUGUUAUAGUCGUGUAUUUUACAACGAUCUCUUCUGGGUAUUCUAUAUGGGUAUUCUAUAUGUUCUUUUAUCCUCAGAGGUAUAUAUGCAACUAUUUAUUUUCAAAUAUAAUUUUUAUCAUAUAGCAAGGUUGGCUAAUCAUAAUGUUAGAUGGAAUUAUUAUUAGUCUGGUUGAUUCAUGAUCGAGAUUCCUCUAUCUUUCUUUGGUUUUCUAAUCUACUAUGUUCGAUAGAAGAUUUGAUGAUAAGACUCAUAUAAAGCUAUUUUCUAUUUCUACUGGUUGAAGCUCCGAAUUACAUAUAUGGAAUCUAUAUUGUCUUUAUCACAACUAUUUCUAGUGCGUACAAGCGAUAUUCUUCUUUUGGAUUUUCUCUGGGAUAUCAUCGAUCUCUUUAUCAUUCAAUGUGGUUUUUCUUCUCGGAAAUUCAGUAUAGCUUCACAUCUUGGAUUUUAUUAUCUCGGUUUUCUUAUUAUUCUUGUGGUCUAAUCUUAUUUAUUAACCAUGGUUCAUCCAUCAAAGAUAUUCAUUGGACGGAGGUAAUUAUAUUUAUUACUGUUAUAAAUCUUGGAUCGAUCAUGGAACUCGGUGAUAUGGAUCUCAGAUUAUAGAAGUUGUAUCACUGCACUGGUUGUUAUUGGAACUACUUUCGAAUUUCUUCAUCUAUUUUGAAGUGCACUAUUGAUGUUGAGGUAUUGUUCUAUCUAUAUGGUUGGAACGUCGGUUCUAUUAUAGCUUUAUAGUUUUUAAUCUAUCUGAUGGUUGUGGCUUCGGUAUAGUUCAAAGCUUCGAUGUUAAUGAUUGAAAUAGUUUUAUUAUAUAUAUAAUUCCUUUCUAGAUUUUGUGAAAGGGUUGACAUCGGCAGAAGUGUAGAUGGAGGAAGAUUGAGCUCAAACUUGUAUUUGGUUUUCACUUCUCAGGUAAUUUUGAAUUAUGUCAACAAGUCAAUAAUGAAAUGUCAAAAUUCGUUUGAGUUAAAUGCUAUUUGUGGUAAUUUUUGGUUGGUGUUUCGAGAGGAUUAUGAGAUAUGGUAUAUCUGGAUUGUUUUGACAACAAGAAGAAUAGAUUAUUCUGAAAUGUUAUUAUCUGAUAGAUAAAAUCGACUCAGUUGUUCUAAUCAAAGUGGGUUAUUCAGUGAAAAGUUAAUUGAGUUAUAAUCAGUGAUGGAAUCAGUACAUUUUGGGUCUCCACAAUGGGUUUAAAUUAUCUGUUUUCUUCUCGCUGGAUGGGUUUGAAAGGUAUUAAAUAAGAUAAUUCGGGUUUUUUCAGUUAUGUUCGACAGACAAUUACUGGAAAUUUCUCGGUAGUUAUACUACUAGUGAAAAAAGUGAUGGCAAGAGAACAUUAGAGCUACUCAGUUAAGUUCAGGCAUAGUAUCAAUUUCUAAAAUGAAUUUUGAUAUGAGUUCGGAAGUGAUAUGAGUUAUGAUUAAUUUUUAUGGACUUCGAUUGAAAGGGGUGAAGAAAGAUUUGACUUAAUAGCUUGUAUCAGAUGAGAAAUUUCGAGGACGAAAUUUUUUAAGGGGGGAAGAGUUGUAACAGCCCAAUUUUCAGUAGUGUCAGAACAGUGAUUUGAGAUCACUAAAUUCGAUGAAAAAGUUAGAAAUAUUUUUGAAUCAGUGAAUUUUGUGAUUUAAAAGAAAUUAUUAGGUAAAUUGGGUCAAAAACGAGGUAUCGAGACCUCGAUAUCAUAAACUGAGCCGUAAAUAUUUUUAUAAAUAUUUACGGAGUGUUGAUAGGGUAGUAUUAAAGUUUCGUUAAGAAAUUUUAACGUUUCGAUGGUUAAUUGAUUAAAAAGGAUUGAAUUUAAAAAAAAAAGAAAAAAAAGAAAUGUAUUCUCGGGACUUCAUUCCGGUAAAUUAGAAUUGUAAAUAUUUAUUAUAAAUAUUUACCAAGCUAGUUGUGUAGUUAAUCAAGUUUUGAUUAAGUGAAUUUGUCUAAAUUGUGGUUAAUUAUGAAAAAGGAUUAAAUUGCAAUAGAGAUAAAAGUUUAAUUAUAGAUUAAAGAAAAGUUAAAAGGACCAAAUAGGCAAUUAUGCCAAUUAUCAAAGUUGAGGCGGCAUAAGUGUAAAAAUCUGAGAUUUUUAUGUGUUAAAAAAAUAUUAUUAUAUUAUUAUAUGUAUAUAACAAAGAAAGGAUAGAAAAAGAGAAUAGAAACAGAGAAAGAAACAGAGAGCAAAACGGGCAGAGAAGGAAGGAAGGAAAGAAAGAAAAAGAAAAAGGGAAAUUUAAGGUUUCAAGGUUCCAAGCUCAAAUGGUAAGUUAAAUUAGUCCUUUUCUUAUAAUUUUUGAGUUUUUGGAAUCCUAGAGCAAAAUACUACUUGAUUUAAGUGGAAAUUUUGGAAGUUAGUAGAUUAUUAGAUGUUGUUCAUGUUGAAUUAAUUGAUGAAUUAGAGGUUAAAAUGAUUGAAUUUUUAAGUUAAAAGUUAGUAAAAGGUUGAUUUGUAAAAUAAAACAUAAGUUUUGAAUAGUAGGGACUAAAUUGAGAGAAUCCCGAAAUUAGGGAUUUAUGGUGAAAUUGAAGAGCUAAAUUGAGUUUAUGGUAAGAAUUAAGAGAGAAUAUAGAGUUAGAUUGGGAAAAUAAAAUUAUUAUUGAUAAUGGAUGAAAUUAGAAUUUGGGUAAAGUUUAGGUAUAAAAAGAAAUAUUUUAAUGAAAUUGUGUAUUAAUGAUUUUUAAUUGUUUAAUUACGUAGCUAAUGUCGUGUACGAGUCAUUGUCCGAGAAAGGAAAGGAGAAAGUGGACAAGGAGUGACUCGAGAGAAAUUCCGGUUAGUAUUACCAUAAUUCGAAUUUAAUUAUUAAUUGUUAAAAUUUAAAUUAAUAUACAUGAUAAGAAAAUUGAGGUGAGUAUCAUGAUUGAAUCGAAUGAAAUAUAUAUAUAUAUAUAUAUAUACGUAUUGAUAUUGAAUUUAUUGAUAGUAAUUGUUGAAUUUUGAAUAAUAUGUUUAGUAAAUAAAAAUAAGGAGAAUAUCGAUAUUUAAUUGAAUGAAUUAAAAAUAUGAAUUGAAUAAAAGUGAAUUAAAUUAUGAAUAAGUGUGAAUACGUGAAUUGAGUAUUGACUGAAAAGUGGUUUGAUUCGAAUCGAGGUAUGAUUUGUGAAAUAUGUAUUGGUGCUGAAUUGUAUAUUGAUUUGAAAGUGGGAAGUGAAUUUGAAAUAGAAAAAUAUAUUGAAUCAAAUGGUGAUUAAAUUGUAUAAUGAUUUGAAUUGAAAGUAUGAGAAAGUGAUUGAAUUGAAAUGUGAUUCGGAAACCCUAUUAACUAGUCGGGCUGAGUCGGAUAUAGUUGGCAUGCCAUAGGAUUGGAAGUGUUCAGGGAUACUUCGACCUUGAGUCGAUGAGACACUGGGUGUCAUACUGUUACUUCGAAUAGAUUCGAUGAGGUACUGGGUACCAACUUGCUUCGGCUUUGCCGAUGAGACACUGGGUGUCAACUAUUGCUUCGAACUAUCCGAUGAGGC
This 6406-nucleotide long non-coding RNA is filed under the name Gossypium raimondii (Peruvian cotton). Its description in RNAcentral is "long non-coding RNA (GRAI_LNC001012)". Lineage: Eukaryota; Viridiplantae; Streptophyta; Magnoliopsida; Malvales; Malvaceae. The record is from RNAcentral.